AUACUGUGAAACUGCGAAUGGCUCAUUAAAUCAGUUAUAGUUUAUUUGAUGAUACCUUGCUACAUGGAUAACUGUGGUAAUUCUAGAGCUAAUACAUGCAAUUAAGCCCCGACUUCUGGAAGGGGUGUAUUUAUUAGAUAAAAAACCAACGCGGCUCGCCGCUCACUUGGUGAUUCAUAAUAACUUCUCGAAUCGCAUGGCCUUGCGCCGGCGAUGCUUCAUUCAAAUAUCUGCCCUAUCAACUUUCGAUGGUAGGAUAGUGGCCUACCAUGGUUUCAACGGGUAACGGGGAAUAAGGGUUCGAUUCCGGAGAGGGAGCCUGAGAAACGGCUACCACAUCCAAGGAAGGCAGCAGGCGCGCAAAUUACCCAAUCCCGACACGGGGAGGUAGUGACAAUAAAUAACGAUAUAGGGCUCUAUCGGGUCUUAUAAUUGGAAUGAGUACAAUUUAAAUCCCUUAACGAGGAUCAAUUGGAGGGCAAGUCUGGUGCCAGCAGCCA
This 500-nucleotide ribosomal RNA is filed under the name Agaricales sp. RNAcentral describes it as "SSU rRNA". It matches the Rfam family "Eukaryotic small subunit ribosomal RNA", at positions 76 to 576 of the family's 1831-position model. Lineage: Eukaryota; Fungi; Basidiomycota; Agaricomycetes; Agaricales. The record is from RNAcentral.